GACGAACGCUGGCGGCGUGCUUAACACAUGCAAGUCGAACGGAAAGGCCCUUUUGGGGGUACUCGAGUGGCGAACGGGGGCGUAACACGUGAGUAACCUGCCCUUUACUUCGGGAUAACUGCAGGAAACUGGGGCUAAUACCGGAUAGGAAUCCUUGCUGCAUGGGGGGGGUUGGAAAGCUUCUGCGGUUUUGGAUGGACUCGCGGCCUAUCAGCUUGUUGGUGGGGUAGUGGGGUACCAAGGCGUCGACGGGCAGCCGGCCUGAGAGGGUGACCGGCCACAUUGGGACUGAGAUACGGCCCAGACUCCUACGGGAGGCAGCAGUGGGGAAUAUUGCACAAUGGGCGGAAGCCUGAUGCAGCAGGGCCGCGUGCGGGAUGACGGCCUUCGGGUUGUAAACCGGUUUCAGCAGGGGCGAAGCUUGUGGUGACGGUACCUGCAGAAGAAGCACCGGCUAACUACGUG
This 465-nucleotide ribosomal RNA is filed under the name uncultured bacterium. RNAcentral's name for it is "partial 16S ribosomal RNA". It matches the Rfam family "Bacterial small subunit ribosomal RNA", at positions 28 to 507 of the family's 1533-position model. The record is from RNAcentral.